Long non-coding RNA from Gambusia affinis (western mosquitofish), 1249 nucleotides. RefSeq lists it as uncharacterized. The record is from RefSeq and is a predicted model, not a curated record. Lineage: Eukaryota; Metazoa; Chordata; Actinopteri; Cyprinodontiformes; Poeciliidae. The transcript has 4 exons.
GAAAAACGUUAAGCUUUCAAAAUGUGGUUGCAGCUCACACUGACAGAUAAAUAGUUACAGUGAGAUGCGUCUGUGAAUGUUGGGUUGAAAUCAGUACCUAGAGCUUCGUACUGACUCUGAUCUGCCACAGAGAGAGUGAGAGAAAUGUUUCGUUAGUCCGUUUUGGGCAUCUUUGAUUUUAAUACUUAUUGUUUGGCAUUUGUUGAUGUGCAUAUUACCUUAAAAUCUGUUUCAUAUUUUUGUCUAACAUCUUAAAACGAUAGUUCAUUUUUUGAAGUGGGAUUGGAUGAGAUAUUCAUCCAUAGUUGGUAUAUUAUAGAGCAGGAUGAUUUUGAAAAAAUGCUUAAUUGUGAUGAUCUUUUCAGUGACAUUACAGUUGCGAAAUGAUUUGCAAUUUCUGAGGGAAAUAUAAUUUUGUAUAAUUGUUUUCUUAUUUUCAUUGAAAAAAUUAAGAUGAUUAUGGCGCGAUUCUUCCAGGGAUGUGUAACGGAUGUUUGUUUUUUUAAGUCUCUAGAUUAUGAUGUGUAGGCCAGGACAUCUUUGCAGCAGAACAUUUCAUUUAAAAUAAUUUUUUAAGAUUUAAGAAAUUUAAGAAAUAUUGUACCUCCUGUGAUUUCAAAAUCGCAGUAGGCUGUAUUGCAAUUUUGAUAAAAUUUUGAUUAAUUGUUCAGCCCUGGCACAUUAUUUAAUUACUAGAUCUAUUAGUGAUGUAGGCUACUAGUUAUACACUAAUUUAAAAACACAUUUUUUUCUUAUUAUCUUAGGUUCUGGCCUAUGGGGUGGCAGGGCAAGAUCUGCAAGUCUUUGUCUGCAACAAAGGAUCCAGGCUGAGUUUCACAGAAUCACAAUGGUGCAUCUUGAAUCAAAGUUCAUGUCCAAACUGGAUGAAUAUACUCCUCGACUUCUGAACCUCUUCCACUCCAAGGGCGGAAGCAUGGGAUUGAGACUGCAUGCUAUCCUACUCAAGACUCCAAACAAUCCUGACAUCAACAUGACCAGAGAUGUUAUCAUUCGAUGUUUGAUGCUGUACCUUGGGGAAUCUACAGAUCAACUCUUAAAAGAGUAUGAUUCUUUGCAAUUUGUCCCUAAAAGUGAGCUAAGAAAUGAUGGCCAAGACGUUGCUUUGUGAAUACGAAGACAUUUUUACAGAAAGACUGAGGCAAUGCAGAAUAAGAUAUUCAUCAAGACAGUGCCAAGAAGAAAUAAUAGUGUAAUGGAUUGAUUUAAUUUCAGAAACUUCUUUUAGAAA